RNAcentral lists this ribosomal RNA (468 nucleotides) under uncultured bacterium. RNAcentral's name for it is "partial 16S ribosomal RNA". It matches the Rfam family "Bacterial small subunit ribosomal RNA", at positions 28 to 507 of the family's 1533-position model. The record is from RNAcentral.
GACGAACGCUGGCGGCGUGCUUAACACAUGCAAGUCGAACGGAAAGGCCCUGCUUUUGUGGGGUGCUCGAGUGGCGAACGGGUGAGUAACACGUGAGUAACCUGCCCUUGACUUUGGGAUAACUUCAGGAAACUGGGGCUAAUACCGGAUAGGAGCUCCUGCUGCAUGGUGGGGGUUGGAAAGUUUCGGCGGUUGGGGAUGGACUCGCGGCUUAUCAGCUUGUUGGUGGGGUAGUGGCUUACCAAGGCUUUGACGGGUAGCCGGCCUGAGAGGGUGACCGGCCACAUUGGGACUGAGAUACGGCCCAGAAUGCAACGGGAGGCAGCAGUGGGGAAUAUUGCACAAUGGGCGGAAGCCUGAUGAAGAAACGCCGCGUGCGGGAUGACGGCCUUCGGGGUGUAAACCGAUUUCGCCUGUGACGAAGCGUGAGUGACGGUAAUGGGUAAAGAAGCACCGGCUAACUACGUG